CGUGGGCGCUGGAAAGCUGAGGGGGGCUGCUCCUAGUACGAGAGGACCGGAGUGGACGCAUCACUGGUGUUCGGGUUGUCAUGCCAAUGGCACUGCCCGGUAGCUAAAUGCGGAAGAGAUAAGUGCUGAAAGAAUCUAAGCACGAAACUUGCACCGAGAUGAGUUCUCCCUGAGACUUUAAGUCUCCUGAAGGAACGUUGAAGACGACGACGUUGAUAGGCCGGGUGUGUAAGCGCAGCGAUGCGUUGAGCUAACCGGUACUAAUGAACCGUGAGGCUUAACCUUACAACGCCGAAG
Molecule: ribosomal RNA, 297 nt
Filed under: Salmonella enterica subsp. enterica serovar Schwarzengrund
Lineage: Bacteria; Pseudomonadati; Pseudomonadota; Gammaproteobacteria; Enterobacterales; Enterobacteriaceae
Description: partial 23S ribosomal RNA
Rfam family: Bacterial large subunit ribosomal RNA
Source: RNAcentral